Long non-coding RNA from Penaeus chinensis, 767 nucleotides. RefSeq lists it as uncharacterized. The record is from RefSeq and is a predicted model, not a curated record. Lineage: Eukaryota; Metazoa; Arthropoda; Malacostraca; Decapoda; Penaeidae. The transcript is spliced from 3 exons.
ACCUCUUACCAACCUUCAUUCUAUUUAGUCCACAUAUACCUCGUUACCAAGAACCACCGAGAGUCAAAGAAGCCAGCAAGCAAAGGCAAAAGCAAGGGAGAUUCCCAUGUCUUACUCACCUGUUAUUUCACGAGGAAGAAACAGGUUACAUGAAAGCCAGUCGCAGGGGACGUGUGUAUAUAAGCAAGGGUGAGGUUCCCAGACUUCACGGGCAAACGCAAGCACUAUUGGACAAAGUACAGCUGUGAGAAUCGAAGCAGUGACUCUGAGCGAGCAAUCUGGGUGGUAUCCAAGUUGGUGGAAUCCCCGGAGCUAGUGCUAUUGCAGUGUACCUCUUUGCAAUAUGACUACAACGCGGGUCUUUGCAGAGUGGACUUUCGAAUUGGUAGCAAGGCGUUGUUACAGCACAACACGCUCGUCACGACUCUGAAGCCCUUUAAUAAAUUCAACAAGUGGGCAUCCAGUGAGGCCGGGCCCAAGCGAGUGCAGAUAUUGGUGCAGGACUCCCGAGGGUCAAGCCUACUGCUGCGAGACGACUUAUGAACCAGAAAGGCCUAUUGACACCAAGUUCUUAGAGUGCCCAGACGUGCGCCCAACCUGCCCACAAGGCAUCCGCGCUGGGGGACCUGUACGCUGCUCCAACGACUACAAGUGUGCCAACUUGGACAAUUGUUGCUUCGAUAACUGAACACGUAUGCAACCCACCUUCAAUCUUCGGCGGCCAUUUUUAAAGGGCUGUAGUCUAAAGUCAUUCUGAAAAACAUUAA